UACAGAGGUCUCGAGCGUUAGGCGGAAUCACUGGGCGUAAAGCGCGUGUAGGCGGCUUUGCAAGUCGGGUGUGAAAGCCCUCAGCUCAACUGAGGAAGUGCGCCCGAAACUGCAGAGCUUGAGUGCCGGAGGGGAGAGUGGAAUUCCUGGUGUAGCGGUGAAAUGCGUAGAUAUCAGGAGGAAUACCGGUGGCGAAAGCGACUCUCUGGACGGCAACUGACGCUGAGGCACGAAAGCGUGGGGAGCAAACAGG
Molecule: ribosomal RNA, 253 nt
Filed under: uncultured bacterium
Lineage: Bacteria
Description: partial 16S ribosomal RNA
Rfam family: Bacterial small subunit ribosomal RNA
Source: RNAcentral